This 821-nucleotide non-coding RNA is filed under the name Astratotermes hilarus. Lineage: Eukaryota; Metazoa; Arthropoda; Insecta; Blattodea; Termitidae. The record is from RNAcentral.
AAGAAGUUUUAUUCUUGCUUUGUCGUUCAGUUUUUGUUUGUUUUAUAUGUAAGUUUGUGCGUGGUUUAGUGUGGUGUUUCUAGAUGGGGCACGACUGUUUGUUGUCUUUGUUUUAAUUCUCAUUAGUUGUUAUUGGUUGGUCAAGUAUUUUUGUAUUUAGCAAUUCAUUUUAGUUUCGGUUAAAUUUUGUGCCAGCAACCGCGGUUAUACCUUGGAGGCGUCUGAAUGUGUUCGGCAUUUGUAGUUUUAUGUUUAUUUGUUUGACUUUAAGUAUUGUGGUUUUGUAGGUGAAAUUUUUAUUGUUGUUUUAUUGUCAUGGUCUCUGUUUGUAGGCUAUUAAAUUCUUUUUUUAGACUAGGAUUAGAUACCCUAUUAUUUUGGAACGUUAAUUUUGUUUUGUCUGAGUAGUAUUAGUUAUGUUCUUGAAACUUAAAGAAUUUGGCGGUAUCUUAUUCCAUCCAGAGGAAUCUGUCCCGUUAUCGAUAGCCCGCGUUGGACCUUACUUGGAUUGCUUUGGUUUGUAUACCGCCGUUUAUUUGAUUAUCUUUUUAGGGUUUAUAUAAUUUUCUGGUUUCUUUAUUUUGAUUUAUUUCAGGUCAAGGUGCAGCUUGUUUCUAAGUGGAUGAUGGAUUACAUUGUUAUUUGUUUUAUUGGAUUGUUGAUUUUUAUAUUGAUAUGAAAUUGGAUUUGGUUGUAAUGUUUUGUAGAUUGUUUUCAUGAUAAUUGGUUCUGAGAUAUGUACACAUCGCCCGUCGCUCUCGUUAAUUUGAUGAGAUAAGUCGUAACAAAGUGGUUGUACCGGAAGGUGCAGCUGGAUUGAU